Molecule: ribosomal RNA, 1090 nt
Filed under: Enterococcus faecalis
Lineage: Bacteria; Bacillati; Bacillota; Bacilli; Lactobacillales; Enterococcaceae
Description: partial 23S ribosomal RNA
Rfam family: Bacterial large subunit ribosomal RNA
Source: RNAcentral
UAGUUGAAGGAUUUGGAAAAUUCCGCUAAAGAGGGUGAAAGCCCCGUAGACGAAAUGCUGACAACACCUAGGAGGAUCCUGAGUACGGCGGAACACGAGAAAUUCCGUCGGAAUCCGCGGGGACCAUCCCGCAAGGCUAAAUACUCCCUAGUGACCGAUAGUGAACCAGUACCGUGAGGGAAAGGUGAAAAGCACCCCGGAAGGGGAGUGAAAUAGAUCCUGAAACCGUGUGCCUACAACAAGUCAAAGCUCGUUAAUGAGUGAUGGCGUGCCUUUUGUAGAAUGAACCGGCGAGUUACGAUUGCAUGCGAGGUUAAGUCGAAGAGACGGAGCCGCAGCGAAAGCGAGUCUGAAUAGGGCGAAUGAGUAUGUAGUCGUAGACCCGAAACCAUGUGAUCUACCCAUGUCCAGGUUGAAGGUGCGGUAAAACGCACUGGAGGACCGAACCCACGUACGUUGAAAAGUGCGGGGAUGAGGUGUGGGUAGCGGAGAAAUUCCAAACGAACUUGGAGAUAGCUGGUUCUCUCCGAAAUAGCUUUAGGGCUAGCCUCGGAAUUGAGAAUGAUGGAGGUAGAGCACUGUUUGGACUAGGGGCCCAUCUCGGGUUACCGAAUUCAGAUAAACUCCGAAUGCCAUUCAUUUAUAUCCGGGAGUCAGACUGCGAGUGAUAAGAUCCGUAGUCGAAAGGGAAACAGCCCAGACCACCAGCUAAGGUCCCAAAAUAUAUGUUAAGUGGAAAAGGAUGUGGGGUUGCACAGACAACUAGGAUGUUGGCUUAGAAGCAGCCACCAUUUAAAGAGUGCGUAAUAGCUCACUAGUCGAGUGACCCUGCGCCGAAAAUGUACCGGGGCUAAACAUAUUACCGAAGCUGUGGACUACACCAUUAGGUGUAGUGGUAGGAGAGCGUUCUAAGGGCGUUGAAGGUCGAUCGUGAGGACGGCUGGAGCGCUUAGAAGUGAGAAUGCCGGUAUGAGUAGCGAAAGACAGGUGAGAAUCCUGUCCACCGUAUGACUAAGGUUUCCUGGGGAAGGCUCGUCCGCCCAGGGUUAGUCGGGACCUAAGCCGAGGCCGAUAGGCGUAGGCGAUGGAC